Molecule: ribosomal RNA, 457 nt
Filed under: uncultured bacterium
Lineage: Bacteria
Description: partial 16S ribosomal RNA
Rfam family: Bacterial small subunit ribosomal RNA
Source: RNAcentral
AACGAACGCUGGCGGCAUGCCUAACACAUGCAAGUCGAACGAAACCUUCGGGUCUAUUGCGCACGGGUGCGUAACGCGGAGGAACCUGCCAUUAGGGUCGGAAUAACUUCCCGAAAGGGGUGCUAAUACCGGAUAAGGUCUUCAUACCAAAGAUUAAACGCCUUUGGAUGGGCCCGCGUUGGAUUAGCUAGUUGGUAGGAUAAAGGCUUACCAAGGCGGCGAUGCAUAGCUUGCCUAAGAGGAUGGUCUGCCACACGGUCACUGAGACACGGUCCAGACUCCUACGGGAGGCAGCGGUAGGGACUCUUCCGGAAGGGGCGAGGGGCUAACUGAGCAACACGGCGAGAGUGCUGAUGGUCUUAGGAUCGUAAAACGCUGAUAUUAGGGGGGUUCAAAUGUGUAAGUAACUAUGCACAUAUUGACAGUACCUAAUCAGAAAGCCACGGCUAACUCCGUG